GACAGAGGGUGCAAACGUUGUUCGGAAUUACUGGGCGUAAAGCGCGUGUAGGCGGCCAUGCAAGUCGGAUGUGAAAGCCCUCAGCUCAACCGGGGAAGUGCACUCGAAACUGCAAGGCUAGAGUCUCGGAGAGGAUCGUGGAAUUCUCGGUGUAGAGGUGAAAUUCGUAGAUAUCGAGAGGAACACCGGUGGCGAAGGCGGCGAUCUGGACGAUGACUGACGCUGAGACGCGAAAGCGUGGGGAGCAAACAGG
This 253-nucleotide ribosomal RNA is filed under the name uncultured bacterium. RNAcentral describes it as "partial 16S ribosomal RNA". It matches the Rfam family "Bacterial small subunit ribosomal RNA", at positions 524 to 776 of the family's 1533-position model. The record is from RNAcentral.